RNAcentral lists this ribosomal RNA (176 nucleotides) under uncultured bacterium. Its description in RNAcentral is "partial 16S ribosomal RNA". It matches the Rfam family "Bacterial small subunit ribosomal RNA", at positions 1325 to 1500 of the family's 1533-position model. The record is from RNAcentral.
GCUGGAAUCGCUAGCAAUCGCAGGUCAGCAUACUGCGGUGAAUACGUUCCCGGGUCUUGUACACACCGCCCGUCACACCAUGGGAGCCGGAAAUGCCCGAAGCCAGUGACCCAACCUUAGGGAGGGAGCUGUCGAAGGUGGAGCCGGUAACUGGGGUGAAGUCGUAACAAGGUAUC